CACAUAAUCAUAUUCAUAUGUAUGCCAUACCAAAAUAUAACAAAGUAAACAAUCCUGGUAAAAAUAAUUUCAUAGAAAUGUGAUACGUUAGCUGUAACUCAUGUGGUAGUUUGUACGGCUGAAUUCAUAGCUCAAACUCAAUCUAACCGGAGUCACUACUAUGACCUAUACGACAAUAUACUGCACAUAAGUCGGAACCACUGAAAAGGGUCUGUACGACAAGAUUGGGUGAAAUAUAAUUAUGCUCAAUUCUAUUCUCUCAUAAUAGCCGGGCGAUAAAUCGCUAAUCACCUACGAGUCGGAACCAUAAAUAAAGUCAGUACGACAAGACUGUGCACUUAAAUUGGAUCCAAUAUGAGCAUAUAGUGUGGGAGGUGACGUAAAUAAACAAGCAUGUACUUCUCAUCUCUGGCUAAAUCACAAUCAUCCUAGGUGCAACUUUAAGAGCUCAACAUUACUUAAUCACACAUCGCAUAUCACAUCAUCGAUGAUUCACAUAACCAAACAUAACUUACUUGAACUCACCUGUGCCUCCACAACACCACAUUUAUAUAUAUAUGCAACCAUGCAAUGCAUAUUCAAAUUAUAGAAGCAUUUGGCAUAUUAUUUCAAAGCAUACUUUCCUUAAAAAAUGCAUUUCUGGGAAAUAUAUCAAGUAUAUAAAUAUAUACUGAAAACAAAAACCCACUCACUGAUAUGUCGAAGGGUCGUAGCUCCCGAGUCGCCCGUGGAUACGCUCAUCCUCGGGAUAAGCUUCACCUAUAUGCGAAUCAACUAUAAAAACGUUAUUUUUAAAGCAUAUAGGAAAUACUAGCUAAUAA
RNAcentral lists this long non-coding RNA (821 nucleotides) under Malus domestica (apple). RNAcentral describes it as "long non-coding RNA (MDOM_LNC004439)". Lineage: Eukaryota; Viridiplantae; Streptophyta; Magnoliopsida; Rosales; Rosaceae. The record is from RNAcentral.